RNAcentral lists this long non-coding RNA (691 nucleotides) under Sorghum bicolor (sorghum). Its description in RNAcentral is "long non-coding RNA (SBIC_LNC000090)". Lineage: Eukaryota; Viridiplantae; Streptophyta; Magnoliopsida; Poales; Poaceae. The record is from RNAcentral.
GACUCCCUUCCUUCUCACCCUACAACAACGUACAUGUAGAUAGACUUCACACCGUCAGCUACUCUGCUCAUGCUAAUCUGGUAAUCCAAAGAACAGUUCGUAAGGAAACAAAGAUGAAUCGCUUUGAGAGUGGAAGGCAACAGGAGAGUACGCAAGGAAAGGUGACUUGUUUCAUUCACGGUAUGUGCUCAAGUAGCUGAUAGUUAACGCAUCAUUGACGUCAGGAAGCUAGUGCUUCUACGGUCACACACUAGUGCCUCAAAGGACUGAAGCAGCUUGCUGCGGAGUGAGUGCGAUCUCAAGGGGAUGCUUGAGUCAGAUAGCGCUGUGUUGAUAUCACAACUAACCACGACUAAAGAGAGGACAGAUCCUAAAACAUGUAAGGUUGCUUCCGGACGUGUAAAGUUCUGAAAGAUUAGGAUAGAGUGCGGUGGUGUAGUAUAGUGCUCAUGGCAUGGGUUAGCUAGCCCAAUUAGCAAAACAAACAGUACUACACUGUUCUGUAAGCGAGACACAGGGCUACCUCCUCCUUGUGUAGGUGAGCUCAUUUAUAUCUCUUAUAAAGAUAAACCCCGCUAGCAACUUCUCUUGCCAUACAAAGUGUUCACAUCAGCAUCUACUACAACAUCUCAUUAGCACAUAGCAUAUUUAAUUAUCUCGUCAUGCAAAGUGUCCACAUCAGCAUCCACUA